ACGCUCGACACCUACGGGAGGUAGCAGUGGGGAAUAUUGCACAAUGGGGGAAACCCGUGAUGCAGCGACGCCGCGUGAGUGAAGAAGUAUUUCGGUAUGUAAAGCUCUAUCAGCAGGGAAGAAAAUGACGGUACCUGACUAAGAAGCCCCGGCUAACUACGUGCCAGCAGCCACGGUAAUCUGAGCGGGCUGGCAAGGC
This 199-nucleotide ribosomal RNA is filed under the name uncultured bacterium. RNAcentral describes it as "partial 16S ribosomal RNA". It matches the Rfam family "Bacterial small subunit ribosomal RNA", at positions 328 to 539 of the family's 1533-position model. The record is from RNAcentral.